GACGGAGGAGGCUAGCGUUGUUCGGAAUUACUGGGCGUAAAGGGCGUGCAGGCGGUUUGUUAAGUGCAGGGUGAAAGCUCCCGGCUCAACUGGGAGAGGUCCUUGCAUACUGGCGAACUCGAGGGAGGCAGAGGAAAGUGGAAUUCCCGGUGUAGUGGUGAUAUGCGUAGAUAUCGGGAGGAACACCUGUGGCGAAGGCGGCUUUCUGGGCCUUACCUGACGCUGAGGUGCGAAAGCGUGGGGAGCAAACAGG
Molecule: ribosomal RNA, 253 nt
Filed under: uncultured bacterium
Lineage: Bacteria
Description: partial 16S ribosomal RNA
Rfam family: Bacterial small subunit ribosomal RNA
Source: RNAcentral